Osmia lignaria (orchard mason bee) is the source of this 851-nucleotide non-coding RNA. The record is from RefSeq and is a predicted model, not a curated record. Lineage: Eukaryota; Metazoa; Arthropoda; Insecta; Hymenoptera; Megachilidae.
UUUUUCUACCGUCAGAGGGCGCUGUUUCGACGUGAAAAUACAUAUUCGGUGUUGGAAUAUAUUUGGAUGCAGGGGUGUAAGAGUUGCAGAGAUGUAAAGGAGUCAUGCAUAUAAGGGAUCCAGAGUAGUAAAGGAUGCAGUGAUGUUAAGGGUUGCUGCGACGUAAGGAGUGCAGAAAUGUAAGGGAUGCAGGAAUAUAAGUGAUACAUGGAUGUAAGGGGUGCGAGGAUGUAAGGCAUGUAGGGAUGUAAAGGAUGCUGAAAUGUAAGGGGUGUAGAAAUAUAUGGAUGAGCCCCGUAAGGCCCUCAAGAAGAAAAAGUAUAAUAAAUAACUGGGAAGGAUGAGCCGAGGCCUAUGGAGAGACGUAAGGUAGAUCCGCCCCCGUCGGCGGUCGCUGUAAGACUGGCAAUGGGAAGGUUUAAAAAGCAGAAGGCGUUCGUUUUCGAGGCAUGAAUUCAAGACCGCAAAGGCAUGUUCAGUUUCGUUGAAUCUGUAGUCACUACCUCACUGCAGCAGGAAAUCAAAGAAAGAGUAACUUGGGUAUCACUCUUCAGGAAAUGAAUUCAAAUGUGUUUAGUAUUCGAUAAAAAGUACAGCUUGUGAAAUGUAUAUAAAUGCUUUAUUGUUACAAAUAAAUAGUUACAGUACAAUAUAUAAAUGUUGUUGCUUUAAUUUCAAUCGAUUUUAAACAUAUUCACAAUCCAAAACAAAAGGGUUAAAAGAAGAGAUAAAUAUGUUCCAUAAACAAAUUUUAUUCUUCAUCUCCACAUGUAGUAUGUUUAAGUAUUUAUUUAUAUGACAUUAUGGAAAUGUAUUAGAGUGUAUUAAAACAAUUAAAAAAAAAAAAAAUU